ACUUGAGUAGCUUAAUUUAAGAGCGUAAUAUUGAAGAUAUUAAGGUGAUAUCUUAUUCUUUUGUA
Molecule: transfer RNA, 65 nt
Filed under: Tenebrionoidea sp. 23 KM-2017
Lineage: Eukaryota; Metazoa; Arthropoda; Insecta; Coleoptera
Description: tRNA-Phe
Source: RNAcentral